GAGUAUUCAUAUCGAAAAAAGGUUAUUUUUUAAGUUGGAUUAUGGAAUGGUUAGAUUUAAAAAAUUGGAAAUAAUUUCACCUUAGAAAUUUACUAGUCCAAAAAAAACACACGAACAAUGUCUACAAACACAAACCCUGGUUGGGAAUGACCAAUAAAUAGGAGUUUGAUGAGGAGAAAAACCCUAGGUCCUCAAAACGCAAAAUAGUCGCUAGGUCUCAGCUUAGAAGUGAUCUCCGGCGGCCGUGUCUGAGGAUCUCAUACUGAAAUAGCAUCUCAGAAAGCCAAUUGCAUCUCUCAAUACGCUCUCGGCUCGCUAUGAUGCUCACAUCUACACCUUCUUUCCAUCUAAUUCAUCAACAUUUGAUUUGAUUUGGAAAACAACAGAUCUAUACUCGCAUUCUUUUCAACUUAAUUUACUGGUAUUUUUUAUUUCAUUUUAGGUUACUUCAGGUUUUGUUCCCGCUGCCCUUCUGUUUGGUUUGGAAGAAAAACGGGAGAAAAAUGCCUCGCCGAAUGUAAGAUUCGGUGGUGGGUAGCUUGUUUCGAGUCCUGUUCAAUUGAAAAUUUUAAUAUUGCAAAUUAUAACUUUUGGGGGGCAUUUUCUGGGUUGUGUUUGGGGAAAAAGAAAAGAGAGGAGAUGUUCUUGUUUGGACCUUUGUUUCCAUUGGCUAACAGUUUUGCAUCAUCUUUAACUUCCGGGGAUUUUAGAGCAAUUUAUUAUUAUUCUUAGAGCAAUUUCUUCAAUUUUUCUGCUUUUAACUUUUAAAAAUCUAAAAAUCAUUUAAAAUAAUUUUUAUAUGAAUUUAUUUUUUGUUUAUUAAAAUAAAAUUGAUUUAUAUUACCAUUCUUCUUAUUUGAUAUUUUUACUCAUCUCCUCUCUAAUAAAAAAUAAGGGGUAUUAAACAAAUUUUAAAACCUCGAGGCCCAUAAAC
This 934-nucleotide long non-coding RNA is filed under the name Vitis vinifera (wine grape). Its description in RNAcentral is "long non-coding RNA (VVIN_LNC001566)". The record is from RNAcentral. Lineage: Eukaryota; Viridiplantae; Streptophyta; Magnoliopsida; Vitales; Vitaceae.